GAAGCUUUGAUAGCUUCAACGAGUCUGCUGGUGUCGCCUUCUUUGGUGCCGAACUCUGAAAAGCUGGCCGACGAGCGCUAGCGAAUUUCGCGACCGAUCGCCGCAGGUAUUUAUUUAUUUAAUUAUUUUUAUUUUGAGCAGCAGCAGCGGCGGAGGGAGCGGCAGCUGCUCAGUGACGCCGCCGUAGCCACCGCCGGCCUGUGGAGCAGGGGCCGGGUGGUACGGCCUCGGGUGGUUCGGGGAGAGGGGGGCGCGUUCGGCGCCGGCGACGGCGGAGACGCCGGAGACGGAGCCGAGGCGGGAGGAGCGGUAGCAGCAGAGGUGGGAGCAGGUGGAGGAGAGGGGCGGCGGAGUCGGCCGGGGGAGGGGCUCGAAGAGGUAGUAGUAUCUGCCGCCGUCGUGGCCAUGGGCCCGGGUGCACAAGAGGAACCCCGGGCUGCCGGCCGGCCUAGACCGCGCGAGGCGGCACUACGCGCAGAGGGGCCCCGAGAGGAGAAAGCGGCGCCUGUGCCGCACGCGUCCCCUCAGCGACGCCGGCGACAACCUUAAACGGUUCCUCUUCCAUCCCUCGCUCCCCCGGCGGCGUCGUUGUCUCCACGCCGACUACCGUUGGCGACCGGACGCCGACGAGCUCCUCUCGCAAGCUCUCCGCUAUAACCACAGGACGUCCUUGCGGGAGUCCCGGAGGCCCAAGGCCAAGCUCCUGAGUACCCGUUUCCACUAGGGUCCAAGACUACUUCCGCAGAUACGAACCCAACGCCGUUUGAUACGAGACCCGUGUGAACCUCCCCUAGGAGUGUUUUGUUAACCUUAUUAACUUGAGCCCCCACGAAGUCGAGUCGACUGCAAACAAAGGCUGCUUCAUGAAGGAGACCUUGAUAGUUGAUUAAAAUGAAAACCCCCUUGUUGUAUGUGAGAGAUAUCGUUGUCGAAAGAUUUGAAACCUGUUUUACGUCGUGUUCUGAGUAUGGCACUUUAUGACUUCAGUUCUCCUAGAAAGUUUUUGCCAUGUGAACAACUAGGAACACGGGGAUUUCCUAAAAGAGUGUUUGCCUUUCAUAACCGCUCUUGUUCGCCACGUAGUUCUAGUUUAAAUCUCUUGGUUAUACAACUAUUACCUUCGCCUUUGAUAUUUCUUACAUCUAGAAGAAGUGACUACUACUACGUUCUUCCUUUCCUAUCAUCCUUUCCGAGGAUGACUGUGUCAAGAUAUACUCCCUCAAUGUACCAGGUUGGGACUUUGGAUCCCCCUCACUUUUGUGGGUGGUGGGUAGAACUUUCCACACUCAUAGUCGUUACAGUGGAUCCUAGAUUAAAGCAGGGACUCGACGAACCCGUAAAGGAUCGUUGACUUUUAAAGAUAAAAUGCAGGUUCAAGAAACCUGAUCUGGCCAGAAGUAGUGACAGACUAAAACACCAACGACCUCUCGUUGAAACGUUGUUCCUGAACAGGUGUGAUUCUGUUUUCAUAGAGUUAGUAAGUCUACUUCUAAAGAGAGCCAUAACGAAGAGCAGCCGUAUGUAACAUCGAGAUGACGUGCUGUCGGAACCACAUGGUAACCUACUGUUCUCCUAGCUCAUAAGUUUAGUCCAGCCGCUGUGAGUAUAACUCACCCGGGAUCCUCGAAAGUAACGUUUAUGUUUUGUAUCCUAAGAUCCCCGUAGUUCCCGACACCGUUGUGCCAGUGGAUUCGUGUCUGGUGACGAGCGGCACGACCCUCGCAAAGAACGAACACCUUAUAUAAACCACAACUCUACCUCCUUCGGGUUCUGUUUCUAAUAUAUACUAAAUCUCUUUCCGGCUAUGUAAUACUGUGCGUAGUCGACUGCGACUCGCAACACGUCCACCACCUCGUACUUUCCAUCGUGUGAACAUACACCGUACAUAACUUUACGACAUCUUGUAAAACAAUGUAUGAUUAGCAAAAUGACCGUAUAUGACAUGUUAAAACAUGAUUUAGUCGCUGUGAACAAAACCCUUCCUCCUCAUAUAAUUAGAAUCGAGUU
RNAcentral lists this ribosomal RNA (2007 nucleotides) under Triticum aestivum (bread wheat). RNAcentral describes it as "partial small subunit ribosomal RNA". Lineage: Eukaryota; Viridiplantae; Streptophyta; Magnoliopsida; Poales; Poaceae. The record is from RNAcentral.